GGCCCGUCCUACACUCUUGGCUUGAAGCUAGAGUGCCCAGGCCACCGCCGAGACAGGUGGGCUUGCCUCUGAGCACGGGUUUGCGCAGCGUCUUAGGGCGUCCCCUGCCUAAAUACCUACAUCUCAACCACCUCUUGGAAGCAUUCCUGGAGCCCAGGAGACCCAAGGAUGAGGCUGGUGGAUGAAGAAGUAAGCUUGGGACAAUGAUAAUAAAAAGAAGCUAUGGGAUCCUAACUCCACAACAGCCAAGAAAAGGGGCGCUAAUGGUGGAGACAGGACAUGGACAGUGAACUCAGUGUGUUCCUGGAAAAGUUCCAAGAGAGGAGCUGCUCAGUGGAAGGAAAGAGUGGCCAGACCAGGAGGUGCUGGAACCACAGCCAAAAAGCCCAGCAGAACCCCAAUGCUCUCCCUUCAUUCCCUAGCUUCCCUUUCUUUCUUCUUCUACCAGUGGUGGGGGCUGAAGUCUAUGACCUCAGAGAGGCAGCCCUGUGAACAGAGUUUUCAGAACAUUUAGAAAGUUCCAUUUUCUGUGUCAUACCCAUUAUGCUGUGAGGAAGUAUGAAUUUCAGAGCCACUGGUAGGAGAGGAUCGUCCCCGGAGAAACUGAAAGCUCUUUAUUCAUUUUGUAACAGGUUCAAUUAGAAUGGACAACAUGAGUGACAUGGGUUGCUCAUCACAGAAGGUAGGUGUGAAUUUUAAGAUGUAUUUCUUUUGUUUUGUUUUUUUUUAACCUGUAUUUUCAACAUGUAGGGAAUUGGGGGGUGGGCCAGAAGGGAAUGUUUCAAUCAUAGACUAAUUGUCAUGUUAGAUCCUCUUGACUGAGCAAGUGUGUUUACUACAUUUUUAUGGUGUGUCCUUUGAAUUAUGCUUUUUGCUGAAUUAGGCUUUUCAAAAUCCUCAGGUUUUGCUGUGAAAAUUUUAGGAAUAGACACCUGUUGUUCCUUUCCCUUCCCUUCCAAGGCCGUUAGAUGAUCUUUUCCAUCCAACAAUUCCCAACACUGGGUGUACAUCAAAAUAUCCUAGACAGCCUCUUGAAAACAGAGACUUAGCCUCACUUCUGAAGGUUCUGAUCCAGAAAGGUUGGAGUGGGGUCCCCAAAUCUGUAUUUUUAACUAAGAAUUGAGUGAUUCUGUUAUAGCAGGUCCUCAGAUGAGCAUUUGGGAAUGGCCUCCAAGAAUGUGCAAACAACAUGUGUAGUCGGAAAUCAGCCCUCUGAAAGUAAUAGUUCUACCUAAUCUAGGUGUCAGAAUCUUGGUUUUAAAAGCCAAGACCCACUAGGUUGACACACACUAAAGUGCCCAAAGGAGCAUUUUAAAUUGAAAUGAAAACUCCCUGCAGCUUACCAGAGAAAACACUUAAACGUUAACAUUUUUAACAAUGAUUUUGCUUACUGGGUGGUUCUUACAAAAAUCACUAUCUCUUUCCCCUUGAAGAUGCCACAGAGAAUUCUUAGCCAGGUAUGGUCAAUCAAGAAAAGUAUCUUUGUUCUGUUCCGGAAUUGAUUUCUAGAUCUGCUGAUCCUGUGCGUAUCCCACGUUUUCCUUCCUGUCCCAUGCACUGAGAUGUAUUCUGCUCUCAGGGAAUUUAUGGCUCUGUGUGUAUAAGUCUUAGUCUGUGCCUAUAAACUAGCUCAAAUUUAAUUUGUUCUUCAGAGUUUCUGCUCUAUUACGUUCUGUAAAAUUCUUAACGUCUUUCUUGCAAAAUGUUGUUUUGCUUUCUUUAUUUUCCCAAGAAUGGCUUAUCUCUUUGUAUGAUGAUUCAGCUUCCUCUGUGUCUGCCCCUUGGAUGACCAUCUCUCAGUAUGGGGGAGCAUAAAUAUAAUUCAGUCUGACUCAAACCCAAAAGGAAAUCUCUGGGCUCAAGUAACUGAGAAGUGCAAAUUGGAUCCAGGAGUCCAGCUGCUGUCAUUGGGAGUCCAUCUUUCGCCUUCUGGGAGUUAUGCUUCCUUCUAUGUUGGCUUUAUUUUAAGGAAAGCUUUAUUCUCACAUCAGGCAAAGAUGGCUAUUGAGAGUGCCUCUUUCUCAGUAGGUCUGGUGAAAGUGUCGGGAAGACUCUCAUCAGCCCAGGUUAGGUCACAGGUCUGUCCCUGAA
Long non-coding RNA from Ailuropoda melanoleuca (giant panda), 2091 nucleotides. The record is from Ensembl. Lineage: Eukaryota; Metazoa; Chordata; Mammalia; Carnivora; Ursidae.